This 42-nucleotide ribosomal RNA is filed under the name Forsstroemia yezoana. Its description in RNAcentral is "partial 26S ribosomal RNA". The record is from RNAcentral. Lineage: Eukaryota; Viridiplantae; Streptophyta; Bryopsida; Hypnales; Leptodontaceae.
GCAUCAGACCUCUAAUCGGAAAAGACUACCCGCUGAGUUUAA